Molecule: unclassified non-coding RNA, 231 nt
Filed under: uncultured bacterium
Lineage: Bacteria
Description: partial contains 16S ribosomal RNA and 16S-23S ribosomal RNA intergenic spacer region
Source: RNAcentral
CCCACUCCUACGGGAGGCAGCAGUGGGACCCACUCCUACGGGAGGCAGCAGUGGGACUCCUACGGGAGGCAGCAGUGGGGCAGUUGGCUCAGAACGAACGCUGGCGGCUGGCUCAGAACGAACGCUGGCGGCCCCACUCCUACGGGAGGCAGCAGUGGGACUCCUACGGGAGGCAGCAGUGGGACUCCUACGGGAGGCAGCAGUGGGACUCCUACGGGAGGCAGCAGUGGG